Molecule: long non-coding RNA, 611 nt
Organism: Planococcus citri (citrus mealybug)
Lineage: Eukaryota; Metazoa; Arthropoda; Insecta; Hemiptera; Pseudococcidae
Exons: 3
Source: RefSeq, a predicted model, not a curated record
UCGUCAUAUGCCGGACUAUACAGGUACCCAGCUACUCCGCGUAAGUACUCGCCUAAUAAAUAUUUUUAAAAACGUUUAUUUUUUGUCGGGAAAAAUUACGAGAGUUGUGUUCAAGAACACUUGAAGAUCGAACACGAUUUAAGAAUCCGAUUGCUCGCGAAAAGUACAACAUCGAAGAACGUUGGAAAAUUGAAGCAAAAUGUAAAAAUCAAGACCAACUUAGUCACUGAACAACGAGAAAACGGUAGGCCUACUGCAAUCCUGGGAAAUCAAUCAUUGAAGGUUCUUAAAGGAAAAACAGUAAAAUCGAUCGAGAUCCACGUACAACGUAUGAAUCGUUUGAAAAACAAAGAAGUUUAAGGAAAGAGUUACCUAUAGGUACGUUGUUUAAUCGUUUGUUUUAAAAUGUUAUUAUCUGUGAUAUCACCUUAGAGUAUAAGUAUUGUAUAUCUAAUGAUUAAUUAUUUUUGUAAUUUGUAAUUUAAUUUUAUUUAUAUGUAUUUCCAAGCUUUGACAUAUUAAUUCAAAUUGUCAUUAUUUUCUUUUGUGAUAGGUAUGUUUUUCAUUUAUAAAUUUUAAAAUCGGUAAUAUAGACUAUUGUACCUGUUGUG